GCAAGUCGAGGGGCAGCACGGUGUAGCAAUACACUGGUGGCGACCGGCGCACGGGUGCGUAACGCGUAUGCAACCUACCCAUAACAGGGGGAUAACACUGAGAAAUUGGUACUAAUACCCCAUAACAUCAGGACCGGCAUCGGUUCUGGUUGAAAACUCCGGUGGUUAUGGAUGGGCAUGCGUUGUAUUAGCUGGUUGGUGAGGUAACGGCUCACCAAGGCAACGAUACAUAGGGGGACUGAGAGGUUAACCCCCCACAUUGGUACUGAGACACGGACCAAACUCCUACGGGAGGCAGCAGUGAGGAAUAUUGGUCAAUGGACGCAAGUCUGAACCAGCCAUGCCGCGUGCAGGAAGACGGCUCUAUGAGUUGUAAACUGCUUUUGUACGAGGGUAAACGCUCUUACGUGUAAGAGCCUGAAAGUAUCGUACGAAUAAGGAUCGGCUAACUCCGUGCCAGCAGCCGCGGUAAUACGGAGGAUCCAAGCGUUAUCCGGAUUUAUUGGGUUUAAAGGGUGCGUAGGCGGUUUGAUAAGUUAGAGGUGAAAUACCGGUGCUUAACACCGGAACUGCCUCUAAUACUGUUGGACUAGAGAGUAGUUGCGGUAGGCGGAAUGUAUGGUGUAGCGGUGAAAUGCUUAGAGAUCAUACAGAACACCGAUUGCGAAGGCAGCUUACCAAACUAUAUCUGACGUUGAGGCACGAAAGCGUGGGGAGCAAACAGGAUUAGAUACCCUGGUAGUCCACGCAGUAAACGAUGAUAACUCGCUGUCGGCGAUACACGGUCGGCGGCUAAGCGAAAGCGAUAAGUUAUCCACCUGGGGAGUACGUUCGC
Molecule: ribosomal RNA, 835 nt
Filed under: uncultured bacterium
Lineage: Bacteria
Description: bacterial SSU rRNA
Rfam family: Bacterial small subunit ribosomal RNA
Source: RNAcentral